UACGUAGGUGGCGAGCGUUGUCCGGAAUUACUGGGUGUAAAGGGCGUGUAGGCGGGGAUGUAAGUCAGAUGUGAAACUCCGAAGCUUAACUUCGGAACUGCAUCUGAAACUGUGUCUCUUGAGUGCUGGAGAGGAAAGCGGAAUUCCUAGUGUAGCGGUGAAAUGCGUAGAUAUUAGGAGGAACACCAGUGGCGAAGGCGGCUUUCUGGACAGUAACUGACGCUGAGGCGCGAAGGCGUGGGGAGCAAACAGG
RNAcentral lists this ribosomal RNA (253 nucleotides) under uncultured bacterium. RNAcentral describes it as "partial 16S ribosomal RNA". It matches the Rfam family "Bacterial small subunit ribosomal RNA", at positions 524 to 776 of the family's 1533-position model. The record is from RNAcentral.